This 494-nucleotide ribosomal RNA is filed under the name uncultured bacterium. RNAcentral's name for it is "partial 16S ribosomal RNA". It matches the Rfam family "Bacterial small subunit ribosomal RNA", at positions 28 to 507 of the family's 1533-position model. The record is from RNAcentral.
GACGAACGCUGGCGGCGUGCUUAACACAUGCAAGUCGAACGGUGAAGCGCCUUCCUUUUUGGUGGGUGUGGAUGAGUGGCGAACGGGUGAGUAACACGUGAGUAACCUGCCCCCUUCUUCUGGAUAACCGCAUGAAAGUGUGGCUAAUACGGGAUAUUCUGGGUCUGUCGCAUGAUGGGUCUGGGAAAGAUAUUGUUUCGGUGGGGGAUGGGCUCGCGGCCUAUCAGCUUGUUGGUGGGGUGAUGGCCUACCAAGGCGGUGACGGGUAGCCGGCCUGAGAGGGUGGACGGUCACACUGGGACUGAGACACGGCCCAGACUCCUACGGGAGGCAGCAGUGGGGAAUAUUGCACAAUGGGCGCAAGCCUGAUGCAGCGACGCCGCGUGAGGGAUGGAGGCCUUCGGGUUGUGAACCUCUUUCGCCAGUGAAGCAGGCCUGCCUCGUUUGUGGGUGGGUUGACGGUAGCUGGAUAAGAAGCGACGGCUAACUACGUG